Molecule: long non-coding RNA, 2428 nt
Filed under: Homo sapiens (human)
Lineage: Eukaryota; Metazoa; Chordata; Mammalia; Primates; Hominidae
Description: long non-coding RNA NONHSAT090251.2
Source: RNAcentral
ACAUGCCUCUGCUGUACGCCUCGGCCACAGGACACAGAGCACUAAGAAGACAGAGAACAGCCCUGCAAAGCUAAUCUGCUCAACCUUCACCUACUGGGUUCAAUGAAUAUGAAAAGCUGCCUUCCUGAAACUUUUCCUUCAAAGAGGGAAUGAUCUCCUGGAAUUCAAGCUUCUACAAGGUGGCUACCUGGUGUUUUCCACUUUUGCCGUCUCCUAAAAAGCAUCAUUCAAGCCUUGCCCUUUCAACCCACUGAACACAUAAACAUGCUUUCUCCUUAACUGAACUUAUGGCCACGAUGAACUUGAACUCUGAGAUUCACAGAGGAGAGUUUGUUUUAACAGCUGCUUUUACAAUGAAGCCCUGGAGUUACUACUCUCAAGACCCCUGGUUCUGAUAGGCCAUCUUUUCACUGUCCUCUGCAUUUUCUAAUGCCCAGCUGUCAAGGAACACCCACUGAAGUUUUCCAAAACAAAGGCACGAAACACAAGAAAGGCAAGAGAAUGCUAAUCACCAGAUGCAUGGGCAUCCUAUGGGGGAACCCCUUACAUGUGGAAUACGGUUUUUCUCCCCAAUUUAUUUUUAUAAAUUUAUUGAUUUCUUUGCUAGUUUGUUAUUAAUUGUUAGAGAUGUCCUGUUGCCUGAGGUUGCCCUGUCCGAUAUGGUAGCCACCAGCGACAGGUAGCUAUUUAGAGUAAUUUAAAAAUUACAUUAAAAAUGCAGUUUCCUUGUCACUUAACCAUGUUUCAAGUGCUCAGUAUUAACCACAUGUGACUAGUGGCUUCCAUAAAGGAAGGCAAAAAUAGAGAACAUUUACAUCGCUGCAGAAAGCUACUAGAUUUUUUUGGCCAAGGCAUAAGCUCUUUCUCAUAAGAGAAAGGGGAUGCAGAUCUUGCUAAGAGUGAUGGAUUUCUGGGUUCAGCCUACAUGAGUCAUCUUCCAUACUACCCCUGGACAUGCUUUCCUUGGCUGCCAAUUUUCUAUUUUAUAAAUUUCAGGAAAGAGAGAUUAUGGUUGUUAAAACCAUUCAUGACAAUGAUCCCACUUUAGAGAAAACAACAGCAACAAGCAAAGAAGAUGGUGUGGAGAUCCGCACAUUCCACAUCUUUUAAUUGGUACCCAUUAAAUAACAAAGGGAAAAAGUACCCUCAGACCACAACUCUCCACCUUGUGUGGAGGCCAAGGACCCAGCAGGGAGAAGGCAGAAGAUUAGGUUCUCCACUCAUCCUGGCUCUCAGACCACUGAACUCACAUUUGGGUUCUAAUGGAAUGGUGAUUGGAAGCAUAUUCUCCAAUAGGAGGUUUUUAAAAGUUCUGUGCCAUCAGCCAGGCAGCAUCUGUCAUUUAAAAUGACUGGCCAGUUGCACGUUUAAAAGCAAAGAUAAAAUUGCUAAUUUAUACUUACUGAAUAAACAUCAGCAGUAUCCAUGAAGGUACCUACCCUAAUAGCAAGUUGUAUUUUUAUUUUUAUGGUGGUGGCGAAGCUGCCAGGAAAACCAAAGCAUCAGUUCUUUAAUUACAUUUGUUUAGUAUUGAUUUAAUACUAAAAUUUCUCUUGCUCCCUUAGAACAAAGAGCUCUAACUUGUACACUGCUGUAUCCUUAGCACCUGGAACAGUCCCUGGCCUACAAUAGGCACUUAGAAAGUAUUUGUUAAAAAUUGAUUUUUUUUUUUUAAAGAAACAACCCAGAGUUUUUUUAUUCUGCCCCAACCCCCAACCCCUGGCAUUAAAAUAAAUCUUCCUCAACUGCCAUCACUAAUCGCCAGGAUUCCCUCCUAGCCAAUUAUGCUUGGACUCAACCUCUACCUCCCACUCCACAUUCCAAAGUUUCUAUUUCUUUCCAUUCCAGAAGGGCAACUCCACAACAGGAGUGAGGGAGAGGACCUGGACUCCUCCUCAGAGUCCAAUAACACUCCUAACCCUGCUCCCCCAACCUGUGGACUUUUUAAAUCCAUGAAAAUAGAACCUGUCAAGCUACCACAAAAUAGCAUCAGAAGGCAGGAUCAGUCUUUCAUAGGCAUACAAUCUCUGUAAAUACUGAAAAAAGAUUAUUAAAAGCCUGCUAAGUUUUGUCUCCAGUGAAAUAGAUGCAGGCAAGUAUUUUGAUUGUUCUGAACACAUUAGAGAUGAGUGCUACACAGAACUAAGGUAAACUUUGUAAAUUCGUAUGUCAUAACACUUUGUUCCACAAAAAACUAUCUUAUUUUUUAUACUCCAUACUGAUACAGCCAAAUAAUGUGGCUCUUAUUUUCUAAAGAUGCCAGCAAUAUGUUUAAACAUGUCUUCAUUGUAGUAAAAGUAUCAUAUUUAUAAAAAAUACAUAUGCAUUUAAUGUGAUAUUCCUUAUAGUCAAAAUCUUGAUAUCAUCCUGUUAAUCUGGCUAAAAAUGUAUCUGUAAAAUGAAAGAGAGGAAUAUUUUGCCAUUCCCU